AAAGAAACUAACAAGGAUUCCCCUAGUAACGGCGAGUGAAGCGGGAAGAGCUCAAAUUUGAAAUCUGGUAGCCUUCGGUUGCCCGAGUUGUAAUCUAGAGAAGUGUUUUCCGUGCCGGCCCAUGUACAAGUCCCUUGGAACAGGGCGUCAUAGAGGGUGAGAAUCCCGUCCUUGACAUGGACCCCCGGUGCUUUGUGAUACACUUUCAACGAGUCGAGUUGUUUGGGAAUGCAGCUCAAAAUGGGUGGUGAAUUCCAUCUAAAGCUAAAUAUUGGCGAGAGACCGAUAGCGAACAAGUACCGUGAGGGAAAGAUGAAAAGCACUUUGGAAAGAGAGUUAAACAGUACGUGAAAUUGUUGAAAGGGAAACGAUUGAAGUCAGUCAUGCUCUUAGGAUUCAGCCGUUCUGCGGUGUAUUUCCUUUGAGUGGGGUCAACAUCAGUUUUGAUCGAUGGAUAAAGGCACGAGGAAGGUAGCACUCUCGGGUGAACUUAUAGCCUCGCGUCAUAUACAUUGAUUGGGACUGAGGAACGCAGCAUGCCUUUAUGGCCGGGAUUCGUCCACGUACAUGCU
This 572-nucleotide ribosomal RNA is filed under the name Naganishia diffluens. Its description in RNAcentral is "partial large subunit ribosomal RNA". It matches the Rfam family "Eukaryotic large subunit ribosomal RNA", at positions 58 to 613 of the family's 3401-position model. Lineage: Eukaryota; Fungi; Basidiomycota; Tremellomycetes; Filobasidiales; Filobasidiaceae. The record is from RNAcentral.